Molecule: long non-coding RNA, 1645 nt
Filed under: Homo sapiens (human)
Lineage: Eukaryota; Metazoa; Chordata; Mammalia; Primates; Hominidae
Description: HSALNT0360594
Source: RNAcentral
GCAGCACAGAAAGAACGAGACAGUCACGAAAGAACCACAACGUGGACCUUCCUCUGCAGCCUGAGGACUAGGUCACGGUAGGAGUGCUAAGAGCAGAUGGGGCAGGCGUCAGACACUGACACAGGGGACCAGACACUGUCCUCACGUGUGUAGCCGCAGAUGCCCCAGUAGAGCUGGAAUACAGUGGCCUUGGAGAGCAGCCCCAGAAUCCCAACACAAAGAAACUGGCGAAACUCAUAAUGGAAGAGAUGAGGAAAUUUCCAAGAAUGACCUCGAAGAGACACCAUGUUGCCCAGAAACCAGAAGUCUCAGAGUUCAUAAGUGACGCCUUCACCUUGUGAACAUUUUUAGAUGAGCCUGAGUGAGCAGAGCCAUCACCCCAACUGACAGCUCACUGACCCCACAAGCGGGCCCAGUGAGAGCAGAACACCAAAACUGCCGACCUGCAGCCCUGAGAGCUAAAGAAAUGCUUGUUGUUCCAUAAGCCACUGAGUUGGAAGAUGCUUUGUUUAUUGGCACUGUGGCAACAGAUACCUGAAUCCCAUGGCCGUUCAUACCCAAGCCUAUGCCAGGUCCUCUGACAAAAUGGCACUUCUGGAUCUACAUGGCACCUUCUGCCAUCAUACAGACAUGCCCCUACCCCUGCCAAUCAUGUGAUAAAACUGCCUGGAAGGGGGUGAUGUCCAGGUUCUGCAGGCAUUUUCCAUCCUCCCUCCAUCAACUGCCCAAAGACCUAUGAGGCAGGAAUUUUGCUGAUGGGCAAGAAAUGAUGUGGAAAGGGAGGCCUAGGACAUCCCAGGGCCACAUGAUGUCUUGGAGAAUAUCUCACAGUAUCUGUCUGAGGUGGAGCAGCACACAGGAGCUGUGAGGUCACCAGCCCCUGCUGGCCCGCUGUGAAGUACAGGCCAGGAGACAGGCCUGAUCCACCCAAUGGGAUGGCCUGAUGAACAUGGCCAAGGCCAAGGACAAAGCUGGCCAUUGCAGGGCUCCUGGCCCAGAAAGAUUUGGGGAAGGAGGCUCCGUGGCAAGCUGGGAGAAGAGUGGCCCCUCCUGUAGGAUGAGGCUGCAGGAAUAAAGAAAAAGCCAGGCGUGGGGACGGGCUGAGCAUGGAGACCAACUGUGCAUGUUACUAGCAAGCGGGGAGAUGUCCGACUUCCUGGGAUGGCAGGCUCAGAGUGAGCUCUCAGGUCAUCCAACAGGUUGUCCUUCCCUUCUGUGAGACCCACCCCAGUGCUCACUCUAUUUCCCUCUUCCCAACCUCUCUGCUUCCCCCAACACGCAGGAAACAUAAUGCUUCAGAAAAGAAAAUAAUUACAUGGACACACCUGUAAGCAUCUGUAUCUUUUGGCAGGUGGAGAGGUUGAUAUCAUGUGCUGCUAAUUUAAAAAUUAAUGAUUAGAAUUAGUCAUUACUCAUUGGGGAAAUUCUAAUCAAAACUACAAUGAGGUAUCACUUCGCACCUGUCAGAAUGGCUGUUAUCAAAAAAGAAGAAACGAUAAGUUUUGGCGAAGAAGCAGAGGAAUUGGAACCUUUGCACACUGUUGGUGGGAAUGUAGAAUGUUGCAGCCACUAUGGAAAACAAUGUGGAGUUUCCUUAAAAAAUUAAAAAUAAAACUACCACAUGAUCCAGCAAUCCCACUUCUAG